Molecule: long non-coding RNA, 942 nt
Organism: Nyctereutes procyonoides (raccoon dog)
Lineage: Eukaryota; Metazoa; Chordata; Mammalia; Carnivora; Canidae
Exons: 3
Source: RefSeq, a predicted model, not a curated record
ACUUGUAACUAACACGACAAAAAUGACUGAGAUGUUUACUAAUGCAUUCUCUCUUGAUGGCCAGGAAAAUACAAAAUAACCCAUUUACCAUAUUUUACUUCUAUGAUUUACCCUCAGAACCAAAUGUUUAAAACAAAGAUGCCACUGGGAAUUCAAAUACCUAAGCUAUAGUAAGAAAUGUCCCAGUGCAUCAUCAUCCAGAUAUUACCUCCUGGCCAUUCUAGAUUUAAGAGUGAGGUCCACUCUUUCUAGUGCAGAGCCACAGCCAGUUCACAGAAGGAUAUUUUUAUUUUGCCAGAUAAUAGAAAGAUCUUAUUUAAAUCCUCUGUCGUUCAGUCUAAUCGCAGGUGGGGUUUUCAGCCCAUUGACUUGAGGCUUUAACCUUUCUAAAUUCCUAACGUGUUCUGAAGAUCUGGCAUUUCAUGAGACUUAAAGACUCUGAUCAGCAUGUAGGUCUUUUGGAAGAUGGUGGUCCAGUACUCCUGGCUUCCUUGAGGAAGGCUGCAGCCCUGAUGUUCCACGAGUGGCAAGUGCUAGUGCUGCUCCUGUCCUGUCCCCCGCCCGGAGUAAUUUUGACGCUGAGUUCGUGAAUAAGGAGGUUGGCAAAAGCAAAGGCAAAGCAAGGCAAAGGCAACAAUGUCUGAAGAUUUAAAAAAAAAAAAAAAGCAAACUCUGCCAAAUCCCGGUUGUCUGUUUCGUAUUAUCUCUUUAUUGAUAUUCUUUAUUUAGUGAGGUAUCCUCCUUAUGGUUUCUUUUAGUUCUUUGUAUGUGAUAUCCUUCAGCAACUUGAGCAUAUUUAAAAGUUUUUUUUUUUAAUUCUGUCUACUAACUCCAAUGACUAGGAUUUCUCAGGGACAAUUUCUAUUACUUUUUUUUUUCUCUCCCCCUGUGUAUAGCACAUACUUUCUUGUUUAUUUGCAUGCCUUAGAAUUUUUUGCUGAA